CAAAACUCAGUUCAAAGGUUUAUAUCAGACCUAAAACGUCAGGACCCGCCCACCUGCAUGCGGCUGUGGAAGAACAAGCCCAGACACGUUUCUUCACGGAGAACAAGGAAAACACUUUACCGAACUCAUGUAAGUAACAAUUUAUAUUGUUAAGUCAGUAUUUGCCAGGAUUUAAAUGUAUACAUUUUCAAAAGCAUGGUUCAAUGUUAUAUUUAGUUUACUACUUUUCCCGCCGACCGCCAUUUCGAAUGUGCUCUUACCUCCAACAGCUCAUUAACUUCAACCAAACAUUGUUUAUAGCUGUGAAGUUUAUAAAUAGCGUUUUCUUUGCGUGGUAGUUUAAUAUUUUAUUCUUCAGUUUAUAAGCAGCCACAUUAAAGCUGCUUCACUAGCUUGCAUUCAUAGUUGCUAGCAGCUAGCUAGAUACACUUGACAGAGCUAUCUGAAGCCCCCUCAGACCUGCUGUCCAUGCACACUCCUAGGCAAAACGCUACUCUUGUAAGAAUAACACUCAUUGUGUAAGUCUCAAUCUCAACAUUCCACCCCCCCAAAAAAAAAUCUCACCAGUAGUCACCAUUUAAAGGGUAAAUUUUCAAAUUUUUCUUCCGUGGGGGCAUGCCCCUAGACCCCCCUACUGUUGCUAGGUUACCAACUUAGACCACCGUGGCUACAAAAAAAUCUAGAGGAAAUACUGCAAAUGAGUAUAUUAGGGUGUAAAAAAAAACGAUAUAAAGGGCUUUCACCAGGCUUAUAUAUCCAAGAGGUUAGACAUGAACCAUAACUUGUCUUUUUUGUUCUCUCUCUCCAAUGGCAGAUGGGAUGGCCCUGUAAGUUGUGCAGCACUGUUGUACCAACCAAGAGUGACAUUUUAAAGCAUUACAGACUGCAACAUGGGACCUUUGGACACAGCCAUUCCUUGCCUUGCAUUCAUAUUAAUGAAGCGGAAUCAACAUUUAUGUCCCAACUGGACAGGUACACGCCAAAGCUCCUGGAGCUCUUCAGUGCAAAAGAAGGAGUGACUGCAGCGCAUCAAGAACUUGUUGAUGGAACUGAUACAGGACCCAAGUGCCUCUGCAGUGAAGAAGAGAGAUGUGACUGUGAGAUGCCUCAUAGAGUACAUGGGAGAGAGUGGACAGGAGCUAAUCUCUGACUACUGGAACUGCAGAGACCGCUGUUCAUGAGGACCUGGAAAUGAAGAAUAUGAGCAUCUACAUCUGUCGUGAGCCAAAUGCAGUAGGAAUCAUCAUUGAGGGAGUACCAGUCCUUACUCAUCUUGGAAACCUGGUCAAAGCAUGCUGCCUACUUCUGGGGUUGACGUAUGCACUUAAUCUUGAGUAUCCAUCCAAACUUUCCAAAACAUUUGAGGUGUUUCAAAGACUUUUUGUGGGACUUGACACACUGCGCCCAAAACCAACCCCCAAAUUCAUGACUCUCAAAAACAAGCUUCUAGCUUAGGCAGUGAGCCAUGACUGUCAGCUUGCACUUUUGAACAGCUAUUUUCUUGUGUCUGUUCAAAAUCAUUAUACAUUGUUCAUUGAGUGGAAUUCUUCAGAAUGUUGUAACGGUUUGUCCUGUUCAGGUUUUAUACAAAGCUCCAGGUCAUCGUUUCUGGUGUGUAAAUUAAGUUUUUUUAUGUUUUAUACACACUAAAUUGCCCUACUGUGAAGCUCCAGCUGGUCAGAAGGAGGGAUCUGUGAGUUGUUUAAGUUCAAAUGUUUCAAAAUAUACACACUGAAAGACACUACAGUGAAGGUGUUCUGCUUGUGAAUUGUUACAGAAGUACAGAUAAUCUUAAGGUUAAAUUGUUUUAGCAAGAAACUGUACUGUGAAUGUUCUAAGUAAAACUUGAGAUGCUGAGGUCAUGCAUUCUUUUAUGCACUAAAUACUGAUGUUCUUGACUGUUAAUACUGUCCAGCUUAUUGACAGGUUUGGAUAUGGCUUGUGAAAAUGUUUUAAUAUGUAUACGGUUAAAAAAAGAAAACUACUGUGAAGGUGUUCUAUACAGCACUUUAAAAAGUUGAGGUCAUGCAUUCUUGUAUAAUAUGGAUGUUGACUGUUCAUACUGUCCAGCUCAUUGCCACUGUUUUUAUAUGGUAAUGAUUUAAUAAAGGUUGGAAUUUGA
Molecule: long non-coding RNA, 2122 nt
Organism: Nerophis lumbriciformis (worm pipefish)
Lineage: Eukaryota; Metazoa; Chordata; Actinopteri; Syngnathiformes; Syngnathidae
Source: RefSeq, a predicted model, not a curated record